RNAcentral lists this ribosomal RNA (449 nucleotides) under uncultured bacterium. RNAcentral describes it as "partial 16S ribosomal RNA". It matches the Rfam family "Bacterial small subunit ribosomal RNA", at positions 29 to 523 of the family's 1533-position model. The record is from RNAcentral.
AACGUACGCUGGCGGCAGGCUUAACACAUGCAAGUCGAACGCAUCCUUCGGGGUGAGUGGCAGACGGGUGAGUAACGCGUGGGAACGUGCCCUUCAGUUCGGGAUAACCCAGGGAAACUUGGGCUAAUACCGGAUACGUGCGAGAGCAGAAAGAUUUAUCGCUGAAGGAUCGGCCCGCGUCUGAUUAGCUAGUUGGUGGGGUAAUGGCCCACCAAGGCGACGAUCAGUAGCUGGUCUGAGAGGAUGAUCAGCCACAUUGGGACUGAGACACGGCCCAAACUCCUAUGGGAGGCAGCAGUGGGGAAUAUUGGACAAUGGGCGCAAGCCUGAUCCAGCCAUGCCGCGUGAGUGAUGAAGGCCUUAGGGUUGUAAAGCUCUUUCGUCCGGGACGAUAAUGACGGUACCGGAAGAAGAAGCCCCGGCUAACUUCGUGCCAGCCGCCGCGGUAA